Molecule: ribosomal RNA, 452 nt
Filed under: Melomys burtoni (grassland melomys)
Lineage: Eukaryota; Metazoa; Chordata; Mammalia; Rodentia; Muridae
Description: partial 16S ribosomal RNA
Rfam family: Bacterial large subunit ribosomal RNA
Source: RNAcentral
CGGCCGCGGUAUCCUGACCGUGCAAAGGUAGCAUAAUCACUUGUUCCCUAAUUAGGGACUAGAAUGAAUGGCCAAACGAGGAUUCAACUGUCUCUUAUUUUUUAUCAGUGAAAUUGACCUUUCAGUGAAGAGGCUGAAAUACUAAAAUAAGACGAGAAGACCCUAUGGAGCUUAAAUUAAAAGUUUAAUUUUACUCUUAUUAACCUAAUGGUUUAACACAAAAAUUUUAAACUCUAAAUUUCGGUUGGGGUGACCUCGGAGAACAAAAAAUCCUCCGAAUGAUUUUAACAUAGACCAACAAGUCAAAGUAACCCAAAGAUCUUAUUGACCCAAAAAAUUUUUGAUCAACGGACCAAGUUACCCUAGGGAUAACAGCGCAAUCCUAUUUUAGAGUCCAUAUCGACAAUAGGGUUUACGACCUCGAUGUUGGAUCAGGACAUCCCAAUGGCGCA